This 497-nucleotide ribosomal RNA is filed under the name uncultured bacterium. Its description in RNAcentral is "partial 16S ribosomal RNA". It matches the Rfam family "Bacterial small subunit ribosomal RNA", at positions 28 to 507 of the family's 1533-position model. The record is from RNAcentral.
GAUGAACGCUGGCGGCGUGCCUAAUACAUGCAAGUCGAGCGAACAGAUGAGGAGCUUGCUCCUCUGACGUUAGCGGCGGACGGGUGAGUAACACGUGGAUAACCUCCCUAUAAGACUGGGAUAACUUCGGGAAACCGGAGCUAAUACCGGAGAAUAUAUUGAACCGCAUGGGUCAAUAGUGAAAGACGGUUUUGCUGUCACUUAUAGAUGGAUCCGCGCCGCAUUAGCUAGUUGGUAAGGUAACGGCUUACCAAGGCAACGAUGCGUAGCCGACCUGAGAGGGGGGUCGGCCACACUAGAAGUGAGACACGGUCAAGACGCCUAAGGGAGGCAGCAGUAGGGUAUCGUACGCAAUGGGCGAAAGCCUGACGGAGCGACGCCGCGUGAGUGAUGAAGGUCUUCGGAUCGUAAAACUCUGUUAUUAGGGAAGAACAAAUGUGUAAGUAAACAUGCACGUAUUGACGGUACCUAAUCAGAAAGCCACGGCUAACUACGUG